This 528-nucleotide small RNA is filed under the name Pongo abelii (Sumatran orangutan). RNAcentral describes it as "processed transcript". The record is from RNAcentral. Lineage: Eukaryota; Metazoa; Chordata; Mammalia; Primates; Hominidae.
AGUGCAGCCCGGGGACGAGGAGCCGAGGCUCUCCGCUCUGUCCUGGGUGACUGCAUACUCUGCGCAUCCGGGGGUCGCGGGCUGCGAUGCCGGCCCCCAGCUGGGCACCCCGACCCGGUUCGCGCCGGCACCGGUAGCAGCUGAGAUCAAGCGUUUCCUGGAGGACACCACGGAUGAUGGAGAACUGAGCAAGUUCGUGAAGGAUUUCUCAGGAAAUGAGAGCUGCCACCCACCAGAGGCUAAGACCCGGGCAUCCAGGCCCCAAGUCCCGGAGCCAAGGCCCCAGGCCCCGGACCUCUAUGAUGAUGACCUGGAGUUCAGACCCCCCUCGUGGCCCCAGUCCUCUGACAACCAGCAGUACUUCUGUGCCCCAGCCCCUCUCAGCCCAUCUGCCAGGCCCCGCAGCCCAUGGGGCAAGCUUGAUCCCUAUGAUUCCUCUGAGGUAGAGCCUCCAGCCCUGCCUUUGCCUUUCAGUGGGCUGCUGCAGGAAGACCAGGGGGCAGGGAGCAGAGUGUGAGUGUGUGUGUG